GCCUUCUUGGUGAAGAGGUCAGCACGCUCGACGCGUAACUGAGAAUUCCGUGGUUCGAUUCCCGGAGAAGGCG
Molecule: transfer RNA, 73 nt
Filed under: Stegodyphus mimosarum
Lineage: Eukaryota; Metazoa; Arthropoda; Arachnida; Araneae; Eresidae
Rfam family: tRNA
About the family: Transfer RNA (tRNA) molecules are approximately 80 nucleotides in length. Their secondary structure includes four short double-helical elements and three loops (D, anti-codon, and T loops). Further hydrogen bonds mediate the characteristic L-shaped molecular structure. tRNAs have two regions of fundamental functional importance: the anti-codon, which is responsible for specific mRNA codon recognition, and the 3' end, to which the tRNAs corresponding amino acid is attached (by aminoacyl-tRNA synthetases). tRNAs cope with the degeneracy of the genetic code in two manners: having more than one tRNA (with a specific anti-codon) for a particular amino acid; and 'wobble' base-pairing, i.e. permitting non-standard base-pairing at the 3rd anti-codon position.
Source: Rfam by way of RNAcentral